AGCAAGGUGGCUGAAUUUAGGUGUUAGACUGUAAAUCUAAUUAUGAAUUAAAAUUCUCUUGUUA
RNAcentral lists this transfer RNA (64 nucleotides) under Sinella curviseta. RNAcentral describes it as "tRNA-Tyr". It matches the Rfam family "tRNA". From Rfam's summary of the family: Transfer RNA (tRNA) molecules are approximately 80 nucleotides in length. The record is from RNAcentral. Lineage: Eukaryota; Metazoa; Arthropoda; Collembola; Entomobryomorpha; Entomobryidae.